GACGAACGCUGGCGGCGUGCCUAACACAUGCAAGUCGAGCGGAGUCGAUCGACGGAAGCCUUCGGGCGGAAGAUGGUUGACUUAGCGGCGGAUGGGUGAGUAACGCGUGGGCAACCUGCCUCGAAGACCGGGAUAACAGCCCGAAAGGGCUGCUAAUACCGGAUGUGGUCAAGGAUCCGCAUGGAUUUUUGAUUAAAGGGGAAACCCGCCUUGAGAUGGGCCCGCGUCCCAUCAGCUAGUUGGUGAGGUAACAGCUCACCAAGGCGACGACGGGUAGCCGGCCUGAGAGGGUGACCGGCCACACUGGGACUGAGACACGGCCCAGACUCCUACGGGAGGCAGCAGUGGGGAAUAUUGCGCAAUGGACGGAAGUCUGACGCAGCGACGCCGCGUGAGCGACGAAGGCCUUCGGGUCGUAAAGCUCUGUUCUUGGGGACGAAUAAAUGACGGUACCCAAGGAGAAAGCCCCGGCUAACUACGUGCCAGCAGCCGCGGUAAGAUCACGUGUA
Molecule: ribosomal RNA, 509 nt
Filed under: uncultured bacterium
Lineage: Bacteria
Description: bacterial SSU rRNA
Rfam family: Bacterial small subunit ribosomal RNA
Source: RNAcentral